This 506-nucleotide ribosomal RNA is filed under the name uncultured bacterium. Its description in RNAcentral is "partial 16S ribosomal RNA". It matches the Rfam family "Bacterial small subunit ribosomal RNA", at positions 29 to 523 of the family's 1533-position model. The record is from RNAcentral.
AGUGAACGCUGGCGGUAGGCCUAACACAUGCAAGUCGAACGGCAGCACAGGAGAGCUUGCUCUCUGGGUGGCGAGUGGCGAACGGGUGAGGAAUACAUCGGAAUCUACUCUGUCGUGGGGGAUAACGUAGGGAAACUUACGCUAAUACCGCAUACGACCUACGGGUGAAAGCAGGGGACCUUCGGGCCUUGCGCGAUUGAAUGAGCCGAUGUCGGAUUAGCUAGUUGGCGGGGUAAAGGCCCACCAAGGCGACGAUCCGUAGCUGGUCUGAGAGGAUGAGUCGCCACACUGGCACGUAGACACGGUCCAGACUCCUACGGGAGGCAGCAGUUGGGAAUAGUGGAGAAUGGGCGCAAGCCUGAGCCGGCCAUACCGCGUGGGUGAAGAAGGCCUUAGGGUUGUAAAGCCCUUUUGUUGGGAAAGAAAUCAAGCUGGCUAAUACCCGGUUGGGAUGACGGUACCCAAAGAAUAAGCACCGGCUAACUUCGUGCCAGCCGCCGCCGUAA